Myotis davidii is the source of this 393-nucleotide long non-coding RNA. RefSeq lists it as uncharacterized. The record is from RefSeq and is a predicted model, not a curated record. The transcript is spliced from 2 exons. NCBI's taxonomy places the organism in Eukaryota, Metazoa, Chordata, Mammalia, Chiroptera, Vespertilionidae.
CCUGUAGCGCUGAGCCUGAGAAGAAGCCCGCGCAUCAAGCAGCUGGUGCUGGGCAGGACGACAUCUGGUCCCUUCUAUUCUGCGUCGCAGCCGCAGCCUCGGAGUGUGCAGAGGGCUCACUCGUCUCAGCAAAGCCGGUCAGUUAACCAACCGGAAGUUGGAAGAAAGAAUCGGGAAAGGAGAAGAAAACCAUGAAGAUGAGACACACACAGUGAGAAGUGAUGCGCUCACACCGCCCGCGUCUAAGCCGCGCCUGGACGCUCCCUGACGUCACUGGCAGCUGAGGGGGAGGGCGUUCCGAGAGGUUCUUAACACCCUCAGGCUCCAGUGGUGAGAUGAAAUGCCAACGAAAAAUGAUGCAAAACAUUUGCAAACAACAGAAGUGAAAUUGUG